UUGAUUUUUGGUUUAUCAAGGAAUUCAAAUUUAAUAGGGGUACCAUGGGUAUUUGUUUCAAUACUUGUAUGGGAAAUAGUAAUUGGAUAUAACAGAGUGAGGAAAGGUACGCCAAGGAUUACAGCCUAGCUGAGUCCCUUUAUCAUAAUAAAUAGAGUAGGAAAACAAUGUCCUUCAUUACAAAUUUUAGCAUUAGAUAACUUGUAUUUAAUAAAUAGUCUACUCCCAUCCGCAGUGUUAAGGAUUUGAGUAGUUUUAUCGAAGUAUUUUGUAGGAACUAAUCCUUCAUUGAGGCAAUUAAGAUCAGCACCUGAAUCAACU
This 321-nucleotide long non-coding RNA is filed under the name Amborella trichopoda. RNAcentral's name for it is "long non-coding RNA (ATRI_LNC004830)". Lineage: Eukaryota; Viridiplantae; Streptophyta; Magnoliopsida; Amborellales; Amborellaceae. The record is from RNAcentral.